RNAcentral lists this ribosomal RNA (520 nucleotides) under Marmessoidea sp. n. 2 AC-2020. RNAcentral describes it as "partial 16S ribosomal RNA". It matches the Rfam family "Bacterial large subunit ribosomal RNA", at positions 1827 to 2606 of the family's 2925-position model. The record is from RNAcentral. Lineage: Eukaryota; Metazoa; Arthropoda; Insecta; Phasmatodea; Lonchodidae.
ACAUCUUUUCUUGUUAUUUAUUUGAAAUUUGACCUGCCCACUGAUAAUUUAUUUAAUGGCCGCGGUAUUUUGACCGUGCAAAGGUAGCAUAAUCAUUAGUUCAUUAAUUGUGGACUUGUAUGAAUGGUUGGACGAAAUAUUUACUGUCUCAUAAUUAUUAUUUUAAUUUAAAUUUUGAGUUAAAAUGCUUAAAUUUAUUUAUAGGACGAGAAGACCCUAUAGAUCUUUAUUUUAUUUUUAAAUAAUUAUUUUAGUUUUUUUCUUUUUUUUUAAGAGAUAUGUUUAGUUGGGGUGACAUUGAGAUAUAAUUAACUCUUUAUUUUUGUAUUCAAUAAUAUUUGUAUAUUUGACCUUCUAUUAAUGUUAAAAGAUUUAGAUACCUUAGGGAUAACAGCGUAAUUUUUUUUUAGAGUUCAUAUCGACAAAUUAAGAUUGCGACCUCGAUGUUGGAUUAAGAAAAUAGUUAGGUGUAGGUGCUUAAUAAUUAAGUCUGUUCGACUUUUAAAUUCUUACAUGAUCU